RNAcentral lists this ribosomal RNA (493 nucleotides) under uncultured bacterium. RNAcentral's name for it is "partial 16S ribosomal RNA". It matches the Rfam family "Bacterial small subunit ribosomal RNA", at positions 28 to 507 of the family's 1533-position model. The record is from RNAcentral.
GACGAACGCUGGCGGCGUGCUUAACACAUGCAAGUCGAACGGUGAAGGGACCGGUUUUUGCUGGUUCUGGAUGAGUGGCGAACGGGUGAGUAACACGUGAGUAACCUGCCCCCUUCUUCUGGAUAACCGCAUGAAAGUGUGGCUAAUACGGGAUAUUCUGCGCCUGCUGCAUGGUGGGUGUGGGAAAGAUAUUGUUUCGGUGGGGGAUGGGCUCGCGGCCUAUCAGCUUGUUAGUGGGGUGAUGGCCUACCAAGGCGGUGACGGGUAGCCGGCCUGAGAGGGUGGACGGUCACACUGGGACUGAGACACGGCCCAGACUCCUACGGGAGGCAGCAGUGGGGAAUAUUGCACAAUGGGCGCAAGCCUGAUGCAGCGACGCCGCGUGAGGGAUGGAGGCCUUCGGGUUGUAAACCUCUUUCGCCAGUGAAGCAGGCCUGUCCCUUUUGUGGGUGGGUUGACGGUAGCUGGAUAAGAAGCGCCGGCUAACUACGUG